RNAcentral lists this ribosomal RNA (488 nucleotides) under uncultured bacterium. RNAcentral's name for it is "partial 16S ribosomal RNA". It matches the Rfam family "Bacterial small subunit ribosomal RNA", at positions 28 to 507 of the family's 1533-position model. The record is from RNAcentral.
GACGAACGCUGGCGGCGUGCUUAACACAUGCAAGUCGAACGGAAAGGCCCUGCUUUUGUGGGGUGCUCGAGUGGCGAACGGGUGAGUAACACGUGAGUAACCUGCCCUUGACUUUGGGAUAACUUCAGGAAACUGGGGCUAAUACCGGAUAGGAGCUCCUGCUGCAUGGUGGGGGUUGGAAAGUUUCGGCGGUUGGGGAUGGACUCGCGGCUUAUCAGCUUGUUGGUGGGGUAGUGGCUUACCAAGGCUUUGACGGGUAGCUGGCCUGAGAGGGUGACCGGCCCCACUGGGACGGAGACACGGUCCAGGCUCCUACGGGAGGCAGCAGUGGGGAAGAUUGGACGAUGGGCGGAAGCCUGAUCCAGCCAUGCCGCGUGGGUGAAGAAGGCCUUCGGGUUGGAAGGACCGUUUGUUGGGAGAGAAAAGCAGCAGGUUAAGACCCCGCUGUUAUGACGGUACCCAAAGAAGAAGCACCGGCUAACUUCGUG